AGAACGAACGCUGGCGGCAGGCCUAACACAUGCAAGUCGAACGGGAUCUUCGGAUCUAGUGGCGGACGGGUGAGUAACGCGUGGGAACGUGCCCUUUGGUUCGGAAUAGCCCUGGGAAACUGGGAGUAAUACCGGAUGUGCCCUUCGGGGGAAAGAUUUAUCGCCAAAGGAUCGGCCCGCGUUGGAUUAGGUAGUUGGUGGGGUAAUGGCCUACCAAGCCGACGAUCCAUAGCUGGUUUGAGAGGAUGAUCAGCCACACUGGGACUGAGACACGGCCCAGACUCCUACGGGAGGCAGCAGUGGGAAUCUUAGACAAUGGGGGAAACCCUGAUCUAGCCAUGCCGCGUGAUCGAUGAAGGCCUUGGGUAGUAAAGAUCUUUACAGGUGGGAAGAUAAGUGACGGUACCACAAGAAGAACGCCCCGGAUAACGUCCGUAGACCGAGACACGACCGC
This 454-nucleotide ribosomal RNA is filed under the name uncultured soil bacterium. RNAcentral describes it as "bacterial SSU rRNA". It matches the Rfam family "Bacterial small subunit ribosomal RNA", at positions 26 to 532 of the family's 1533-position model. The record is from RNAcentral.